GUUGAAGAUGAUUAUUAACUAUUAAUGAUAAUUACCACAUUGUACGAAUAAAUUGCAUUAUAUAAAGAGUGACUCGCUUCCUAAGUUUGUAUUAACAAAGAAAAAAGCUAAAAUUCUUGAAGUCUCAUAAGUCCAGUCCAUCUUUCUUUGCCAUCUAAUAAAACACUUUUUAUUUCCUUUCAUGGGCUUAAACUUCACUAAAAGGCAAAUUGUCUGAGGGCAUGCCUCUGAGACAACAGGACUCUGUGUGUGCUCAAAUAAUCCCCUGUUCCAGUUGACUGUUUUCUAUUUUUCUGAAUAGACACUAUACAGAAUCAGGAAUCAGAAACGGUCCUGUGAUCUCCCUAAUUGCUUCCACAGACAAGUCCAAAAUGGGUAAAUUUUUUCAAAGACACAACUGAUUCAAGCCCCAAAUGUUCCUCAAGGAGCUCUCAGGCUUCUCUCCCACAAUGGUGUGGAGUCCCCUCAGCCAGCCCUCACCCCAGGGCUGGGCAAGAACCCAAAUGGCAGAAAGGGCUCCCCCUCCAGACAGGACCCAUCUCCACCCAAUAAAGGCCGGCACUCAGAAGAGGAAGCAGGAAGUCGAAGACAACAUGUUCUUGGGCAUCUGUCCUCUUGUUACCCUGAAGCUGACCCCAAGUCUGAUCCAGAUCCGAGCAUUUGGGGAGCCACGGUGCCACCAGGAACUUCUGCAUCCCAACAACAUCCUUAACGGCCACGUAUGGACUGCAAAUCCACACAGCCACGACAGCAGAUGCCACAGAGCGGCCGGCUCAAUCUCGGAUUUAACAGAUCUCAAGACAGGAACCAACGACCCACCAGGGAAAAAGAAGGACUGAGCGGGAACUCGGCUCAUUCAACACCUGCUCACUCUGGACGGCAAGGUCAGCAGUUACUGCUGGGCUCUCUCCAGCCGCAGUCGCGUGCCUGUCAAAGGUCUGUACCGUUCAUCUUGACGCAUAAUCAAAGAACACUUCAUCAAGGCUCAUCAGAGCUGCGGGAGCUGUUAGCAAUGAGCAGCUUCCCUUUGUAUUAUUUUAGGAGAGCAAAA
RNAcentral lists this long non-coding RNA (1051 nucleotides) under Ursus maritimus (polar bear). Its description in RNAcentral is "lncRNA (ENSUMAG00000008938.1)". The record is from RNAcentral. Lineage: Eukaryota; Metazoa; Chordata; Mammalia; Carnivora; Ursidae.